This 221-nucleotide long non-coding RNA is filed under the name Elaeis guineensis (African oil palm). RNAcentral describes it as "long non-coding RNA (EGUI_LNC033768)". Lineage: Eukaryota; Viridiplantae; Streptophyta; Magnoliopsida; Arecales; Arecaceae. The record is from RNAcentral.
AGUAGAAAAAAAUAAAAUAAAAUAAGAAACACAAUACAAAUACAUGGAUCAGCCUUAAGCUUACCUCCAUGGGAUGUGCAAGCUUCACUAUGAGAGAAUAAAAUACAAUAAAUACAAGAGAAACUCACUACUCAACCCUUGUAUAAGAGUCUCUCAACAAAAAAUCUCAAAACUCACACAAAAGCUCUCUAAAAUCUCUCUUGAAGCCUUUCUAUAUCUCC